This 13163-nucleotide long non-coding RNA is filed under the name Prunus persica (peach). Its description in RNAcentral is "long non-coding RNA (PPER_LNC008340)". Lineage: Eukaryota; Viridiplantae; Streptophyta; Magnoliopsida; Rosales; Rosaceae. The record is from RNAcentral.
AUUAUCUUCAUCAAACCUCUCAUUAACAUCUUCCAAGUCAUCGGAUUCAGACUCACCAUCUUCCGUAAAUAUAGACAGGUCUUCAUCAUCCUGUGUCAUUACCAGGUGGACCCCGAAGCUUUUAAAACGCAGCGAAUCUUCUGCCCAAGUCGGAAAAUUAACUCGACACGCAAAAGGCGACUUCGGCCAGGUAAUCUGAUCAUCCCGGUAAAACAUUUCUCUGAACUGAAUAUAGCACAGCCACACAUGACCUGACCCUAUCUUUUUGAAAUAGUAAUUGCACUGAAUAAAAUAAGGUUCCACUCCUGGUUGAUUGAUGGAAAUUUUUGGUACAAAACCAUGGAAACGUCGUCUUUUGUUUUGGGGGUUUUCAACAGCAGCGUAUAGAGCCAAUCCUUGGUUCUGGCAUUUGAAGUUUGGAGGGAUUUGAAUCAAAAAUUUACAUGCGUUAUCACGCUCCUUCACAUCCUUAUGACAGCUGAACAACGUCGAGAAAACUUCAAAACUUGCUGGAAAUACAACCUGAAAUCCAUGUUUCUGUGAAGACAGAAGGUGAUCAAAGAAGAGAGUGAUCUGCUCCUUUGCUAAAAUGUUAUGCUUCUUUGUGAGGUCACGAGCCAGAUUGCCGCACAGUCUCUGGCAAUUACCCAAGUCCACCAACUCAAUCAUUUGUAAGUCUUUUUUACCUUUCAGAAUGUUGGACAACGAUGAAAACCUUUCCAAUGAUACGCAAUCACUCGCCCCUAACUUUACUAUUUUUGGUGGAAGUUCCGGAAUAUCUCGAAGCCUCUUGCAGCCAUGCAAGUAAAGAUCCCGCAAAUUGACAAAUUUCGUAAUGCAUUUGGGAAUACUUACAAGGAAAUCACUUCGUCUUAGAUCAAGUACGUUCAAUGUAGACACACAAUCAAGAGUCCUCAGGAAAUUAAAUUCUGAUAAAUUGUUUCCUUCCAACUUGAAUUCCGCAAGACUGGGAAGCGCUAAAGUAUGUGAUACUGGACUCCCCAAAACUUCAGACUUCACUUUAUUUGGAAAUCUAACAAGCUUUCGACUUCCUUGGAGACAAAUUUCAUUUAGAUGUUCCAACUCAUAAAUGCUGGAUGGCAGAUUCGUCAGAUUUUCACAAAUGCUUAUGUCUAAAAAUUCAAGACUGACGAGAUAUGCAAUUGACGCAGGCAAUUCUUUGAUGCCACUACCACAUAGAAACAAGUGACGUAAGGAAUCCAUCUUCCCCCCAAUUUCAGGGAAAGUCUCCAGUCUUCUGCAAUAUACAAGAUAGAGAACUUCUAGAGAUUUUGACUUGAUUAUUGGAAAUAGUGUGAGGUUAUGGCAACUCUGAAGACUCAAUUUCACAAGCUUAUCAUGAAAUCCAACAGAAGGAUGAACCUCAACUAAACUUGUGCAGUCGUCUAGAUUCAAGGACUGUAAGUUUGGAAUUCCAGAGAUAUUUGGGCUUUUUGUUAGGAAUUCACAGCUCUUAAAAUUCAUGGACGUCAAAUUUUGCAAACGCUAUAUAAGACAAAAAUAGAAAAUAAAAAGAAGGAUCAAACGGUAAGGCAUAAACAAGUUCAAGCCAUAACUCCAAAAACAUAAUAAACUUUUGAAAAUACGAAGGGAUGAAAAUAAUUUAAAUUACCUUGAAUCCCUCCCCAAGUUGUGACAAGCGGCUAUAAGGCAUAUAAAGUUCAACAAGUUUCCUUGGAUUGAAAGUAGAUGGUAAAGUUUGUAGAGGACAAUUAGGCCAAUGAAGAAACCUCAACUCAUUAGAUAGAUAAUCCACGUGAUCGCCACUAAAUCGUGCAUUCACAUUGAUGAAAAGUCGAAGGUUUUUCAUCUUUGAGAAGCUGUCACCACUCAAGCAUAUGUCAUCUGGUGUCGGAAACUUUGCUAUGAUGCCUUUAAUAUUAUUUGUUCCCUAUUAUCAAAAAGCAGUAGUGUAAACAUACAAAGCUCUUUAGCAAAUAAAAAUGCAAGUGUACACAUCACACAACAGACUUACUGUUCCUUCUGUUAGAACACGAUAAACAUCCUCGUGAAACCACAAUCUGCUACGUUCACCAGGCUCAUUUGGCGACUGUAGAUAAACUAUUCCUCUACCCAAUUCUUCAAGCAAGUCAUGCAUCCCAAUUAUGCCUCGUUCAAUAUUUAUGAGGGCCUUGUCUACGAGUACUUUAAUAGCAUACUUAGGCUUGAGGUCACAACCUUCCAGGAUCGGUAUCACAUGGUUCACCUUUCUACCGUUAAAGAAACAUGCUAUGUCAAGGAAAACUUCUUGCACUGAAUAUUCCAAUGCAUCAUAGCUUAUUUUGAGAGUUUUUUUAAUGUCCGGGUGCAGAUUCCCAUCCAAUGCAUCAUGCCACUCAUCUAUACUUCUACCACAUAGAUGAGAACCUAAAACCUUGAGAGCUAAAGGAAGACCUUGAGCAUGCUUCAGCACAGUUUCUGCAGCUUUCACAUAAUCAUCAUCCAAAUUUUUAUUUCUCCCACCAUUCCAACUAAUGAAGAGAUCAAGAGAUUCACCAAAGUUUAAUUUCUUGGCCUUAUAUAUAAUACUAACUUGAUGAGAAGUUAGCAAAUGCUUAUCUCUUGUCGUUAUGAUGAUUCUACUGCCCAAACCAAACCAAUCACAACCUCCAACUAAGUUGUUUAAUUGGUCCAAAUGAUCCACAUCAUCUACAAUUACAAGGACCUUUUUACCACUCAACCUUUCCUUUAUCACACUGAUUCCUUUAUCGGCACUGGUAACCUUUAUUUCCUUUCCCCUUAGAAUCUCAUCAAGAAGAAGAUUUUGUAGGUCGACUAGGCCUCCAUAUGGUAUUGAUCUUUCUCUUACUUUUUCCAGAAAACAACUCCCUUCAAACACAUGGGCCAGUGAGUUAUAAACAGCUUUAGCAACAGUUGUCUUUCCUAUUCCAGCAGUCCCCCAUAUUCCUACCAUGCGAACAUCAUUUCCGUCAACAUCUAAAACUUUAUGAAGAUCUCGUACACGAGCCUGUAUUCCGACUUGGUAUUUUGCCACAUUGAUAUGGGUAUCAUUUAAUACUUGUAAGGAAAUCUCGUUGACAAUGUUCUGAAUAAAUUCAGUUUCACGGCUGCCAAUUUCAAGCACAAACAACAAUUAAAUCAAAUGGGAUUUUUCUAUAUAUGUUAUAAAGAAGUGCUCGAUACUAAUGUCAAUUAUGUCAUGAAUCUAUAUAUAUAAAGCAAAAAAUAGAGAAUAAUGAAACAUUCAAAAUACCAUAAAAUGUCAUUGGUUAAUGUAAACAUUUUAACAGAAAUAUAUUGAAAAUGUCUAUUACUCUAGAGAUUUCUACCAAAUGUCCAUCACAUUUUAACAGUUAAAAUAACAGAUUCUGCAACCCUGGGAGAAAUAAAUUGAAAUUAAAGCAGAGCCUCAGAAAAGAAAAAAAUAAUAACGGAUCCUAAAUGUAUAUUAAAGACAGAAAUAUACCGCAUCAGAAAAGGAAAAAAAUAUAAAUAAUAAUAAAUAAAUAAAUAAAACAUACCCCUCCAAGUAAUGCGACCCAGACAAAUUUGCAGCUUCUGUAAGGGUUUCCUUCCAUCUCAGAACCUUCUUCAUAUUGUCCUCGAAUUUACUUUCAUCAUGGUUAGUAAGUUUCUGUUCUUUGAAUUUGCGUUCAUGGUUAUUCAGUGCCUCGCCAUAACUACCUCUUUGGUUCCUUACAUCUGAGGGAUCCACUUUGUAGAAAACUGGCCAAACCAUCUGUUGCUUUGAUUUUCUACACUGAAUGAUAUGAACAAGUUCAUCCAAGCACCACUUCGAGGAUGCAUAUUUUUCAGAGAAUACGAUGAUGGAACACCUCGAUCCUUCAAUUGCAUCAAGAAGUGCUUGUGAUAUUUCCUCUCCUCUUGGGAGCUCAUCAUCUAUGAAGGUUCUGAUGCCCCUCUGGACCAAAUUUUUGUGCAGAUGGUCUGUGAAAUUGUAGCGUGUGUCCUCACCUCUAAAGCUGAGAAACACAUCGUGGGUCCAUGAAUUGGUGAAAGAAGAAGAAGAAGAAGAAGGGGAAGGAGCUCCUAAUAAUUGAGUGGUGUCUAGAUCCAUAUUGUUGAAAAUUGAACAGGCUGAAAGGGUUGGAAAUUAUAGUGAUUUAUUGUCCGAGAGUCUCUGGUUGGCAAUGUCAGUGGGGAGACGAAUCAUGUGAGUGAAAAGUCUUCGUCUUUCUCGGCCCCAAGAGCCCCUACCUCUGCUGGGUCUCUCUAGACCCGAGGGACAGUUUUAAAUUUUUUUAAUUUUUAAUUUUAUAUAAUUAUUUAAUCAAUAAAAUAAAACUAGUUUGUUACUCUUUCAAAAGGUUUCCGUGAAUGGCGGGAAGAAGAACCACCUUCAUUAGUGGUUGAAUCCAUUUGAUUGCAGAAAAGGAUGUUGGGAAAGGCUACUUUCCUUUGUUAUAUAUUAGGUGUUUACUCAGUGCUCCGCCAUUUGCUUGUAUUAAAAAUAAAAUUAGGCCAUCCCAUCUGCGAAGUAGUUUCCUCUGUCAUUUUCAGAGUGGAUGAGAAGUCAAAAGGUGAAUAUUAUAAAACAGAAGACUGCAUUUUUGUUGCAACGUACGGUUGUUUCGCAAUUCAGAAGUAACGUAGAAGUUCGGCGUGUAGGAAAAAAAGACAAAAUGCGUAGAUGAUGAAGAUGCAUAAAAUAACCUCCUCUAAAUAUUUUGUUAGAAGACAAAACUUUGUUUCUUUUCCUUUUUUCUUAUUAUAUGACCUAAUAUUUGAAAAAUAAUAUUGAUUCCUUUAUCGACAAAAUGGCCUAAUUAUUUACAGAAUUUAAAUAAAUUUUUAUAAUAAAAAUUGAUUUUAAUCCCCACUUGAUACACGCACAUAGGACACGCUUAGGAUAUUCAUUAGGAAAUAAAAUCAAUAGGAUCCAAAAUUUGGUGUUUAUAGGAUAUAGGAUGAUAAGCUAAAUUCAAUAGUCUCAAUACGAACUCAAUAUCACUCAAACUCACUAUGCAACACAUUUCAUUCAAUUCUUUUGUGCCAAAAUAAUUGACUACUCGAACAUCUUCUAAAAGUUUCAUUACGUCCAUGGAGUAUAACUCAGUUGAUUGAGCUCUUUCACCUCCACUUAUGUGGGCAAAAGUUCGAGACACCUAGGCACCCAAUGAAUAUUUGUGUAAACCACUCUCCCCCAAUCACUUGUGCUAUAAAAAUAUAUAAAAAAAUAAUUACAAAUUCCCAUGUUUUUCUUAUCAUUUCCAUUGUUUUUUUAAUCUAGUUUUUAUCAAUAUCAAUAAUUUUUCACAGAUAUUUCCAAAUUUUUAGACCACUAAUAUUUUUGAAACUCUAAAUGCCUGUUUGGCAUUGUUUAUUUGGAGCAAAAAUCACUUUCUUAAAAAGUUUUCUUCCACCUAGCUGUUUGGUAAAUGAAAAAAUAAUCUGAUUAUAUGAAUAAUUGCUGUCAGCCACAGUGAUUUGAGGAAGCUGGUCAGGGGGUGAUUUUAUUUCCGCUUAUGCGGAAAGAGGGUGGGGAACCGGUGCUCUUUAAUGAAUGUUUUAAAAAUGCCCAGAUUAUUCUCAUUGGCUUUUGAAAAUGACAUCCACUAUCGUCUUCAUUUGAUCAUGUAUUCUUGAAUCGCUGCUUCCUCUCCUCUCACGUUACAUAGUGAGUUCAGUUCUUCUUCUUCUUCUCUUCACACCUUUCUUCUUUAAUUUGUCUCCAAGAUUCCUACAACCCCAGAUCUAAAGUUUGUUUCUUAUCUUUUUUCAUUCUGGAUUUGGGGCAGUUAGUCCUUUCUGAUGGUCCAAUCCUGAUAGUCACGUUUCUAGUUCUCAACAAAGAACAAAUCUUAAUGGUCCUUCAAAUCAACGGAUUGGAUCCAGUAUCAAUUUCAUCAUUUUGGGUUUUCAGUGCAACAGAGUGAUAAAAGGUUUUCAGUGCAACAGAGUGAACAAAUCUUAUUGUUUUCUUGUGUUUGAUGGGCUGCAAUGAAUUUGUAGGUUGUAUCCCCUGUGUUCACUCUCUUUCUGGGUUUCUCUUGUUCUAGUCCUCAUUUGCAACUUUAUCCAAAUUAUUUUUUUAUAAAUUCUCUUGUUCUAGAACACUUUUAUUUUUAAUACUCAUUCUAAACUGGUUUCCUUCAAUCCUUUUUUCCGUUUUCAAAAUCAUUGGGUUUUCAAUAAUGAAAUGCUGUAUUAAUUGACGACAAACAAAACAAAACAAAACAAUGUAGGAUCAGCCCACAUAACGCAUCUGGAAGAAAGAGGCGAAGGGUGGUCAUAAUUUCUAAAUUUACUUCACAAUAAGGAAAGGAAUGCAUAUAUGCAAGUAUGACUGUAUGAGUAGCAACGUAUAUACUCGAUGGGAAUUGGCAUUUGGUUGUUGGCCAUGGAGUUAAAUGGUGUGAACAAAAAUUACUAAUGAAGAGGCAAGAGGGCACUGAAUACUGCAAUCGUGAUAGGAAGAUUUUGGGUUGUUAUUAUAUUCAUUUGUGAAUUACAAUAGUUGAGUUUUCAAUUGAUCAUAAUAUUCAGGUUUUAGGUAUUGAAAUUAAAAAUAAUAACCUCAUGCCCUUUCUAGUCACUAUACACAGUCCAAACACUUUUACACAAAAAUUUACCAAACAUUCGUAAACUUAAUAUUGUUUCAACAUCACUUUUAACAAAAAGUUUACCAAACGCCAAAUUGAUUUAUUUCACAGCUGAUUUCUCAUAUAGCAAAUUUAACCAUGAUUAUUUUCACAGCACAGCAAUGCCAAACUGACUACCUUACUUCUUACCCAAAAAAAUUGUCCUUACUUAUUGUAAAAUUAAUGAGACAAUAACUAUUUAUAACAAAAACCAUGAUUGCACUCAUAAUAUGCAUCAAUGUACAUCACAGAUGCAAAGUAGUUUCAUGUCAUCUUCAUAGUGGAUGUGAAGUCAAAGGGAAUAAGAAAAUGGUCAAAAGGAAACAACAACCAACCACAAAAGAAAAAGAAAAAAGAAGCAUCACUACACUUUCGUUGCAACAUGGUUAUUUAACAAGUAGUUGGGGGUGUGGAAAAAAAGACAAAAGGUCGAUUGAUGAUGAAGAUGACUAAAAUAGAUCAGGAUUGUCAAAAAUAACAUCUAUAAUUGUUAGAACACAAAAUUUUGUUAUUGGCGAGUCAGUUAAUUCAUAAUGUGUCAUGCUAUUAGAUAGAAAGGUAUUCGUAUAAUGUAUGUGAGUUUAGUAAAUUAUCGCCCCUCUCAAUAAGGGCUUGCAAGUAAUGAGACACAUAACCUAAUUAAAAGACAGGAUUGUAAUUAAACCGAUAUUUUGUUGAUUAAGAAUGAAUGCAAUUUUCAAAAAUAAUAUCAUGAACCCAUUCAAAUUGAGUGAGAGGGACUUCGUCGAUCUUUUCUUCUAGCAGAUCAAACUUGUUCAGUAUCAAAAUGAAGUCUUUAUAUGGUCAAUGACUGGAUAGUGAGCGUAUGGUGGAAUGUCUAGUUUUGGGGUGGGUGGUUUCAAUUGGGUUGCCACCAAAUAUAUACUACUAGAUAGUAACUUUUGAAUUAAUGAUGCCAAGGGCUUAAAUAAGAUGGAGUAUUUAAUCAAACUUCUUGUUUCAUGAUGCUAUAGUCAAUUGUUGCAUGACUAAUACCUUUUUUUUUUUUUUUUUUUUUUUAAUUUUAUGUUUUUUCGAAAAGGCAGAUUUCAUUCCAUUAGAAAGGAGGAAUAAUGGGCAUGUAAUACAUAGCCUCGUUAAAACCUUCCCGGAGAAACCACACGUGAAAAAUCCCGGAGUAAGAAAGAGUACCACAAAUGCUGAUGAAGUACACAACAAGAAAAAUUACAUUGCAUCACUAUUCCUCCUUUUUAGUUCAAGAGGUAUCUUUUUUUUUCUUUUUUUUUGGUGGUUUUCUUUGUGCAUGCUCUUGGGAUUUAUAGUACUUUACUCUGUUGUGAUCAAUGUUAUGUCUAGAGUACCCAAUGUUAUAUAACUCCCCCAUUGUAAUUUCUAUAACUCAUAACUCGCAAGAAAGAAUUCAACCUCCCCGUAGUUUAGAAAAUAACUAUUUAAUUAAAGAUUACAAUCUGGUUUGGUUAAGUUAACUGACUAUAUAUAUAUAUAGUAGCAACGGUGCCCACGCGAUGCUACAGGUUUUAAAACCCUGUGAAAUGUAUACAAAGUCGUGAAAAUAUGUAGGAAAUAUGGUACUAUUUAUAUAGACAUGGAGAUCUAAAUAGUGGCAUCUUUGUUUUGCAAGUUUAAUACUCCCAAAGAAAAAAUUAGCCAAACUACAGACGCAAAAAUGAAUCUUAAUCAAUUCCAAAUAAUAGAGGCAGUGUUCAAACUUAGAAAGAUAGAAGAACUAAAAUUCAGAUAAUGGAGGUAAUGUUCAAACUUUGAACAUCUCUAACAUGACAUCACCAAAUCAGUAAAUAUUACACAAAAUCAGUAUAAAAACACAUGAAGACAAAAAAAAAAAUAAAAAAAGCAAAUAUUAACAACAAUAGAUCAUUACACAAUUUAGGGUGACCCUAACAACAAUUGAGGAAUUGAUUGCUUUUGUUAGAGACCAAAGCAAGUGUUUCUAAAACAGGGAAUAAGAGCAUAAAAGUUUUUGAAUGUUGGAUGCCCAUUUUUUACUUUUCCUUCCUCUUCCUCUAUUUCCCGAGAAAGCAAAUAAACAGAAUCAGCCAAAUAUCACCACAAAUCAAAUGUAUGGUAAUUAAUUAAAUGCCAAAGUAAGAAGUGCCAAAGAAUCAUUGAGCAUAAAAUAAAAAAAAACCAAAAAUCUGAGUCACCACUUGUAGAAGAUUAGCCCUUUGCUGGCAGCUCCUUUCACUUACAAACUCCUUGGUGUUCCAGUGCCACAACAACUUCAGUACUUGCUGCACAAUCCAAGCUCCUCAGUACUCGAUGCACAAUCCAAGCCCUGCAAGCUACAUUGGUAUUUGUUAUGGGUUGCCAUAAAAGGGAAUUUUCAUUUUUAAAGGUCCGUAUGUACGAAUCUAUAAAUGAGUUGCAAAACUUCCACAAAUAUCAAAUCAAACCACAGAUUAGUGGCAGCAUGUAUGUACCAAAUUGUGGCACAUCCCAUUUCAGCUCAUAAAUCGUCAAAUAAAAAAUCUAAAAUACGCAUUCAUAUCAUACAAGUUGGAAGGAUGAACCAAUAUUUUGCAAAAGCACAAAACUUUAUUAACAUCCCAACAAACCCAAAGGAUAAAAACAGAUAAUCAAAUCAAUCAUGAAAUACAGAAUUACAGACAGAAUACGCACAUAUAAGGAUGAAAUGCAACAAUUAAGACCACUCGCGCCACCCAUUUCUCUGUAAUUGAUCUUUCGCUUUUUCAUUGUCAAUCCAACAUACUUUUAAAUCUUUACCAAUCAAAUUUUACGUCUCCAAUUCAACCGGGCAUUUCGAGGGGAUGCCUCUGACGCAGCCUCCUUCACAUCUGCCACCAAAGCCAAACAUCAAACCUCAAUUAAUUCACAAACCCAGAAACCAACCCAACCCAAAUUACAUAGGGCAGAUAGAUAAAGAAGCAGGAUGAAGCAAAAUGAUAAUAAUUGGUCAAACAGAACCCAACAUGCACAAAAGCUUCAAAUGUCCAAAGCUCCAAAAACAAAACAUAAUAAUAAUAACCCGAAUUGGGCAAACCAAGUUCUACUCAGUAGUGGGUGGCUCUUGUGGGGAAGAAGAUGAAGCUUCAUCUGCAUAAGAGACCAAUGUACACAGUGGGCUUGCGUUUCACGUCCCAUGGCUGCGUUUUGCGAGGCCGAGUCUUCCUGUGAUGCGCAGUGGCCUUCUUCUGUGGCCUCGACGAACACUCAAUCAUCAACCCAGUACCUCCACCAACUGAGCCGCGCAAUGGGGAUGUCUUUGGGACCCCAAACGACUCGAUCGCAGAUGGGUUCUUCACGGCCACACCCAUAGCCACCAAUUGAGGCCCCAACACAGCUUCAGUUCUCACAGUGAGAAAAAGACGAUGGAAUUGGGUUUUCCUUCUCUCAGCGACUCCGACGAAGAGGAGAGAAUAGCGCUGGAGGGCAAAACGGCUAAUUCACUGCUCAUAAGUCAACUCAAGGAAGCAGACCAUCACUUAAGCGGGGGCAAAACCGUCACUUCGCUAUUCCCAAGCUACAGUCCAGGAACAAUGACUCUGGGAUCAGUUUUAGUAUAUAUAUAAUUUAUAAAUAAAUAAAAAGAACUUGUGUAUUUUGUUUCUUUGUUUGUUAAAAAAUAAUGGGAGAUAUUAUUGGCACCCCAUUAUUUGCUCUUUGCACCCCAUAUUAAUUUUAAACAUGAAUAAUUUAUUUAACCUUCGUACAUAAUUACCGUUAAGGACAAAAAGCAUUUAUAAUAAAAAUUAAAUUUGCUCACUACACCCCAUGUAUGUUCCUGCAACUCUAGUUAGAAUUUUUUUCUUAAACCAUCAUGUUCCUACAAUCCUAAUGAGCUUUAUACGCUUAUAUUGGUGAAAAAUAUAUUGUAUUUAUUCAUGAAGGGUGAGAUUGAAGUUAGAGAGGCUUCGAAUGAGUUAUGAGUUUAUUUUUUGGCCUUUUUCAAGCUUGGGAUUUCUUGAUGGUUCGCUAGUUGCGUUUAGCAAACCAGUACCGAACGCGAUAGGUAAAUUCGGUGGGAUGCCACCGAAACAUUGCACCUAUUUUGGUUGCGUUUGACUGGCCGUUAACUUCAGAUGCAGUGGAGAUCCACCAUAAUAUAAACGGUGUUCGGUGGUUUAUUACAGAAUUUUUACCUACAAUUCAGUGGCAACGAACCGAAAUAUAUUUAUUUUUUCAGUAACUUAUUGUCGACCACAAAUUUAAUAUAAGCUAUUUUGACCUUACUCCCAUUGAAGGAACAAAAACAAGAUGACGCCCUUAAAAUAGAUGACACAUCAUCAAAUGUGAUGGUCAUCUCACUAAAAGGCAUGUGAAAGAUGUUCGUUUCAAGAUGCCAUCUCUCAAUAAAGGUAGAUAUAACAAUCUUAUCUGCAUUCCGAUAAGAACACUAAAUAAGUUGCUCCAAUCCAUACCUCUAAAUGUACCAUUUGAAUAUACCAUUAUUUGGAUUAGCCCUCCAAUUUCACUAAUGAAGGAUAGAUGUCUUCGACAUGCACCUAAGGUGCUCACAUUCCUAGUAAAAAACAAUAUUAAGUACAAACUCAAUAACGAAUUCAGUAGAUGAUCACUGAAACAAGAAACGAAUUCACGGAAACAAAAAAUGAAUUCAGUUGACUACUACUGAAAAACAUAAACAUAUUCAAUAGACUGUCACUAAAAAACUGAAACAGAUUAUGUGAACUACUAUUGAAAAACGUAAACACAUUCGGUGGGUAGCUACUGAAAAUAGAAAACAAAUUCGAUGGACUACCGUUGAACAAGGUAACGAUUUUAGUGGGGUUUACACAGGUAAGUUAGGGAAUGGGGUUCAUGAGGGCAAUCUAGGAAGAAAAAUGAGGUGUAUUGAGUAAUUUUAAAAUUUCCUAAAAUUCAGUGGGGUGUAAGGAGAAUAUGAGGUGGAAAGAGCAAAUGUUAGAGUGCCAAUAAAAUCAUCCAAAAAUAAUAUAUGGUUUAAUGGGUUGUCCUGUUAAGGGAAAGCUUGGAGGCAAUAAUUUAAACUUUUGGAAAAACAAUAAUCCCAAAUGUAAGAACAAUUCAUCCACUAAUAGCUUGCAAAAUUAUAAUUUAAAUGGAAAAACAAAAAACAAAUGCACUAGUAAUAAGUUAAUGUAUCUACUAAACUUAAUUACAUGGAGGCAAUCUAAUGGAUCACUAGUGAUUUUUUAGUCAAAACAACCUAGUUAUAUAUAAUUACUGAAAAAAAUAAUCUCAUUUUUCACGGCCCAAGAACGGGCAAGGGUCCUUCAAUAAGUUAAACAUGUUUACAAGGUGUCACCAAAGCACAAAACGGUCCAUAAGCAAACGAACUGUGGCCUCUGAAAGACUAGAGGAAUCCAAGUCCCUCUGAAUCUGAACCAUUCUGCUGCUCUCUUUUCUUGCUUCUUUCAACACUUGCUGUUGUUCUUCAACCUCAUCAUCACCUUCUCCUUGUUUUCCCUUUGAUGAAAACACCAGUCGCUUCUUAGCCCCUACCUUGUCUUUCAGCUUUGCCAACUCGCUCAUCCAAACCUCCACCACUGCAGACAUGCUUGAACUUGAAAACAUGAAAACUGGCUUGGUCUUGACUCUUUGAGUUUGAUCAAGGAUGAUGGGGAGAGCUGGCUAUUAUGCUUGUUGGGUUAUAUAGAAGAGAGAGAGAGAGAGAGAGAGAGAGAGAGAGAGGGCCUUGCCCUUCAUGUGGCUUGGAUUGGAUGAAAAAUCAGUGUGUCACAGACAGCCGUUGGUUAUAGGCUCGCACACAGGAUUUAGUUUUAGGAAUAUUCCAGAGAGAGAGAGAGAGAGAGAGAGAGAGAGAGAGAGUACAAAGUGGGGUAUGAGUUUUGUUGAGUGAAUGAAAAGCUUCCCAGUGGGCGCACGGAACUCUCUUCUUUAGAUUGUGGGCGACUUGGCAUAUUACUAUUCAUCAAUAGUAUCCAUUGCAUCUUAGUUUUUCUUUUGUCUUAUUCCAACAUUGCAAAUCUCUCUUCCGGGUCAACCACCUCUUCAUCAUCAUCUUCAGUAAAAGUAGCCAUCUUCAUUAUCUUCACAGCUGAAGUAGUCAUGUUCCGAGUCUUGCUCAUCUUCACAUAGAUCAACACCUGAUUCAGACUCAUCGGAUUCAGACCUGUCAUUAGCAUCUUCCAAGUCAUCGGAUUCAGACUCACCAUCUUCCGUAAAUAUAGACAGGUCGUCAUCAUCCUGUGUCAUUACCAGGUGGACCCCGAAGCUAUUAAAACGCAGCGAAUCUUGUGUCAAAUUCUGAAAAUUAACUUGACACGCAAAAGGCGACUGCGGCCAGGUAAUCUGAUCAUCCCGGUAAAACAUUUCUCUGAAUCGAAUAUAGCACAGCCACACAUGACCUGACCCUAUCUUUCUGAAAUGGUAAUCGAACUGAAUAUAAUGAGGUACCACUUCUGGUUGAUUGACGGAAAUUUUUGUUAGAAAACCAUGGUAACGUCGUCUUUUAUUUUGCGGGUUUUCAACAGCAGCAUAUAGAGCCAAUCCUUGGUUCUGGCAUUUGAAGUUUGGAGGGAUUUCAAUCAAAAGUUCACAUGCUUCAUCACGCUCCUUCACAUCGUUAUGACAGCUGAACAACGUCGAGAGAGCUUCAAAACUUGCUGGAAAUACAACCUG